This 68-nucleotide transfer RNA is filed under the name Ictidomys tridecemlineatus (thirteen-lined ground squirrel). RNAcentral's name for it is "Spermophilus tridecemlineatus (thirteen-lined ground squirrel) tRNA". It matches the Rfam family "tRNA". Rfam says of the family: Transfer RNA (tRNA) molecules are approximately 80 nucleotides in length. Their secondary structure includes four short double-helical elements and three loops (D, anti-codon, and T loops). Further hydrogen bonds mediate the characteristic L-shaped molecular structure. tRNAs have two regions of fundamental functional importance: the anti-codon, which is responsible for specific mRNA codon recognition, and the 3' end, to which the tRNAs corresponding amino acid is attached (by aminoacyl-tRNA synthetases). tRNAs cope with the degeneracy of the genetic code in two manners: having more than one tRNA (with a specific anti-codon) for a particular amino acid; and 'wobble' base-pairing, i.e. permitting non-standard base-pairing at the 3rd anti-codon position. Lineage: Eukaryota; Metazoa; Chordata; Mammalia; Rodentia; Sciuridae. The record is from Rfam by way of RNAcentral.
GGGAUUGUAGCUCAGCGGUAGAGCGCUCCCCUAGCACCGGAAGGACCUGGGUUCGAUCCUCAGCACCA